Streptomyces silvensis is the source of this 75-nucleotide non-coding RNA. It matches the Rfam family "ASpks TB sRNA". Lineage: Bacteria; Bacillati; Actinomycetota; Actinomycetes; Kitasatosporales; Streptomycetaceae. The record is from Rfam.
CUUCACCGACCCCAGCCACAGCGGUCGGUCCGCGGGCCGGUCCUGGCCGUACGUGGCCAGGAGGGCGUCCGCCUC